RNAcentral lists this ribosomal RNA (347 nucleotides) under uncultured bacterium. RNAcentral describes it as "bacterial SSU rRNA". It matches the Rfam family "Bacterial small subunit ribosomal RNA", at positions 100 to 448 of the family's 1533-position model. The record is from RNAcentral.
GCACGGGUGCGUAACGCGUAUAGAAUCUACCUUGUACUAGGGGAUAGCCUUUGGAAACGAAGAUUAAUACCCUAUAGUAAGUAUUUGUGGCAUCAUUUAUACUUUAAAGGUUACGGUACAAGAUGACUAUGCGUCCUAUUAGUUUGUUGGUGAGGUAACGGCUCACCAAGACUUCGAUAGGUAGGGGCCCUGAGAGGGGGAUCCCCCACACUGGUACUGAGACACGGACCAGACUCCUACGGGAGGCAGCAGUGAGGAAUAUUGGACAAUGGAGGCAACUCUGAUCCAGCCAUGCCGCGUGCAGGAUGACGGCCCUAUGGGUUGUAAACUGCUUUUAUGUAGGAAGA